CGCCACAUUGUUUCCAAAGUUCUUAUAUUAAUUAACUAUUCCCAUCGGCCUGUGGCAGUUUAGCUAAGCUUUGCGUAUCGCUCAGCCUUUUCUUCUCCCCAAAGCCAGUCCGGGUAUUCGGGAAGUGUCACCGCGACAUGAUGAUGCAGUAGAUUACAAGAUUUCAACUAUGAUGUGAGUCUGUGGCACAACGAACUCUCCGGGGCACUAUUCGCCCCCGAGGUCGAUCUUCUUUGGCUUUCUUCUGCUGAAGCAGGUUGGUUCCGCCAAUGAACGUGGUUUCGGCAGCAAUUCGGCUCCUCCACGGCCGGGAUUUCAAAGUCUAGAGCCAGAAGAAACUCCAAAAAUGAGACGGUCAAGAAUGCUAUUACCACCAAAUCCUGUGGCACACCAUUUGCCAGUGACGUGGCGGAAGUGAACAAAGGCUGCGGUAUGCGGUAGUUGAUAGUUAACGAGUUAGUUACGAGCCCAUACUCUAUGUAAGCGGAACGUGGAGCUGUGCGUUGCUGCUGAUUUUACGGGCCC
Molecule: small RNA, 525 nt
Filed under: Histoplasma capsulatum
Lineage: Eukaryota; Fungi; Ascomycota; Eurotiomycetes; Onygenales; Ajellomycetaceae
Also listed under: 1 other name
Description: hypothetical RNA
Source: RNAcentral